UUCAGAGUUUAUUCAUGCUCAGGAUGAACGCUGGCGGCGUGCCUAAUACAUGCAAGUCGAGCGAACGGACGAGAAGCUUGCUUCUCUGAUGUUAGCGGCGGACGGGUGAGUAACACGUGGAUAACCUACCUAUAAGACUGGGAUAACUUCGGGAAACCGGAGCUAAUACCGGAUAAUAUUUUGAACCGCAUGGUUCAAAAGUGAAAGACGGUCUUGCUGUCACUUAUAGAUGGAUCCGCGCUGCAUUAGCUAGUUGGUAAGGUAACGGCUUACCAAGGCAACGAUGCAUAGCCGACCUGAGAGGGUGAUCGGCCACACUGGAACUGAGACACGGUCCAGACUCCUACGGGAGGCAGCAGUAGGGAAUCUUCCGCAAUGGGCGAAAGCCUGACGGAGCAACGCCGCGUGAGUGAUGAAGGUCUUCGGAUCGUAAAACUCUGUUAUUAGGGAAGAACAUAUGUGUAAGUAACUGUGCACAUCUUGACGGUACCUAAUCAGAAAGCCACGGCUAACUACGUGCCAGCAGCCGCGGUAAUACGUAGGUGGCAAGCGUUAUCCGGAAUUAUUGGGCGUAAAGCGCGCGUAGGCGGUUUUUUAAGUCUGAUGUGAAAGCCCACGGCUCAACCGUGGAGGGUCAUUGGAAACUGGAAAACUUGAGUGCAGAAGAGGAAAGUGGAAUUCCAUGUGUAGCGGUGAAAUGCGCAGAGAUAUGGAGGAMCACCAGUGGCGAAGGCGACUUUCUGGUCUGUAACUGACGCUGAUGUGCGAAAGCGUGGGGAUCAAACAGGAUUAGAUACCCUGGUAGUCCACSCCGUAAACGAUGAGUGCUAAGUGUUAGGGGGUUUCCGCCCCUUAGUGCUGCAGCUAACGCAUUAAGCACCUCCCGCCCUGGG
Molecule: ribosomal RNA, 893 nt
Filed under: Staphylococcus aureus
Lineage: Bacteria; Bacillati; Bacillota; Bacilli; Caryophanales; Staphylococcaceae
Description: bacterial SSU rRNA
Source: RNAcentral